Molecule: ribosomal RNA, 504 nt
Filed under: uncultured Actinomycetes bacterium
Lineage: Bacteria; Bacillati; Actinomycetota; Actinomycetes
Description: bacterial SSU rRNA
Rfam family: Bacterial small subunit ribosomal RNA
Source: RNAcentral
UGGGGAAUCUUGCCCAAUGGGCGCAAGCCUGAGGCAGCGACGCCGCGUGAGGGAAGAAGGCCUUCGGGUUGUAAACCUCUUUCAGGAGGGACGAAGCCACUCGGGUUAAUAGCCCAGAGGGUGACGGUACCUCCAGAAGAAGCCCCGGCUAACUACGUGCCAGCAGCCGCGGUAAUACGUAGGGGGCAAGCGUUGUCCGGAUUUACUGGGCGUAAAGAGCGUGUAGGCGGCCAGGCAGGUCUGUUGUGAAAACUGGAGGCUUAACCUCCAGACGUCGACAGAAACCGUCUGGCUAGAGUCCGGAAGAGGAGAGUGGAAUUCCUGGUGUAGCGGUGAAAUGCGCAGAUAUCAGGAAGAACACCAAUGGCGAAGGCAGCUCUCUGGGACGGUACUGACGCUGAGACGCGAAAGCGUGGGGAGCGAACAGGAUUAGAUACCCUGGUAGUCCACGCCGUAAACGAUGGGUGCUAGGUGUGGGAGGUGUCGACUCCUUCCGUGCCGCAG